Molecule: long non-coding RNA, 722 nt
Filed under: Phoenix dactylifera (date palm)
Lineage: Eukaryota; Viridiplantae; Streptophyta; Magnoliopsida; Arecales; Arecaceae
Description: long non-coding RNA (PDAC_LNC015962)
Source: RNAcentral
UAAAUAGGUCCAACUCCAGUGGUGUGAAAAAAGUGAAGCAUCUAACUUGGCCGACCAAAAGAAUAAGCUGCAGUCAGUAAUCUUCUUGAUUGUUUAAGGAUUCUAAGAAAUGAGCCAACCUCCUUCCUGUACUAUUUUCAAGAUAAGCUACGACAAGUAAUCUUGGGCUUUUGUCAAAAGGAAUCUAAGUGUGCCGAACAUCCAAAUUAAUUCGGCAUUGCGACACUAUCAAAUCCAAGGGCUAUGGGGCUAAUAAAAUAAUAAAUUAGGUAGCCUUCUAUGUACUAAUCAUGUUGAAAAACUCUGUGGCUAGAAAAAAGAAGAUUAUCCGGUGUAUUCUGAAAAUUAUUAUUUUUGACUUUUUUUAGAUAUAUUCGUACCCGACAUGUAUGACACAUCAAAAUCUAACUUAAUCAAGAUUUGUCAAAAACAAAUAUUUUUUUAAAAUAGAAACUUAUUUAUAAUAUAAGUAUUUAGUUAUAAACAUCUGAAGAUAUAUUAUUUAGGGUUAGAAUCAGAAUCUUUGAUCACCAUGUAGAGUAAUAUGGCGGUUGGUAUAAGCCUCUGUUUACAAACUCAAAAUGAAUAUAAUUAAAUAAGAUAAAUUUUUGUAUAUAAAAUCUUAGUAAAAGUUUUUAUUUGAUAUAAUUUGAUCUACAUGCAUAUGUAUAUAUGAUAAGUUUAAUUAGAAUAGCAUAGGUAUACGAUAAUGAUAGUAUGCG